UAUCCCAAGAUCCCCUUUUAUUUUUCAGAAUUGUGGCUUGCAUUGUAAGAGGAGCCUGUGAAUUCAGAGGCAAGUCUGCUGAGGACCGAAUGUUCCUGUCCAUAAAAACAGAAGUCUGGCCUGGGCUCCUCUCUUGGGUGAAUUUGCAAUGCCAGAUCCUCUCUAUCAGUUUGGUUUUGUUUCUUGUAUCUCUGGGAAGGCAGGCAGACAGCACGGUCACCUGUGAAUGCAGCUACAAUUGGCUUAGCUGCCUCACUGAUAAAUGUGCCCCCAGUAAGCUACAAAGGGAUUACCAGCGUUCUCAGCAGCUAAAGGAACUGGUGAAGAUUUCCCCAGCAAAAAGUAGAAGCUCAGUGUUUCAUAGAUGAAGACUGGGGAGAUUGCAAAAGACCCAUCCAGCAGUGGUUCUCAGACCUCAGUGUGCAUCAGAAUCACCUGGAAGGCUUGUGAAAACACGUAUUGCUGGGCCACACCCCCAGAAUUUCUGGAUCAGUAAAGCUGGGAUUCUUACUUUGAGUAGCCAACUUGCAGAAUACAAUAGAAUUUUGGGAGGAGCCCCUCGAUGCCUGGCUUUACUGUUGGAGAGACAGUACAGUAUACACCAGAUGACUUAUUUGUGAACCAUGGAAACGUUUGGAAAAGGACUGUUUCUGCCAUGCGUGUUACUCAUUGCCAUGGUGCUUAUGACAGUGAAGGAAAGAGUCUCACUUUGUCGCCCAGGCUGGAGUACAGUGGUGCGAUCUUGGCUCUCUGCAACCUCUGCCUCCCAGGUUCAAGUAAUUCUCCUGCCUCAGCCUCCCGAGUAGCUGGUACUACAGGCACACAUUUGUAGAGAUGGUGUUUCCCCAUGUCAUCCAGGCUGGUCUGGAACUCCUGGGAUCAAGUAAUCCACCCGCCUCGGCCUCCCAAAGUGCUGGGAUUACAGACGUGAGCCACCACGCCCUGCCAAUAAAAAGAUUAUCUCCAGAUGCUGGAAUGACCAGUAAUUUAUUUUCUUCCUUUUUUUUUGUCUGCACUUUCUACCAUAAUCAUAUGUUAGCUUCUUACUAAGAAGAAAAGUCAAUGUUAUUUCCCUGAAAAAGUAAUGUUGUUUGGUUAUUAAACAAAUUUAAUUUUCUAAACAAGAGUACGACAGGUAAACUGCCUACCUUAAAAGCAAACGAACACAAAUAAAUAAACUAACCAUCUUCCA
RNAcentral lists this long non-coding RNA (1192 nucleotides) under Homo sapiens (human). Its description in RNAcentral is "long intergenic non-protein coding RNA 466". Lineage: Eukaryota; Metazoa; Chordata; Mammalia; Primates; Hominidae. The record is from RNAcentral.